GAGGUAGUGACAAGAAAUAACAACAUAGAUAUUUUAUUUAUGAUUGGAAUGAGAGGAUCCUAAACGAUUCCUCGAGAACCCAUUGGAGGGCAAGUCUGGUGCCAGCAGCCGCGGUAAUUCCAGCUCCAAUAGCGUAUAUUAAAGUUGCUGCAGUUAAAACGCUCGUAGUUGUUGUCCAACUAUACGCUUCAUUGCAUUUGCUAUUGAAGUAAUUAGUUUAGCUGAGACUUCGUUUCGGCCAAAACCUUGAGGAAAGAUUAGUGUUCCAAGCAGUUAAUUUUGUCCUCCCCAGCAUGGUAUUCAACCCAACCGACGAGAGCCGCAAGGCCCUCAUCAAACUAAAUAGAAAUUCAAGGAGGUAUACGUACUUUAAUGUCAGAGGUGAAAUUCCUAGAUUUUUAAAAGACGGUCAGUUGCGAAAGCGUUCACCAAGCGACUCUUCUUUGAUCAAGAACGAAAGUUGGGGGAUUGAAGACGAUCAGAUACCGUCGUAAUCUCAGCCGUAAACUAUGCCGACUUGUCGCGGGCAGGUUCUUUCUUCUAACCUGUCGUCGACUUUUGAGAAAUCAAAGUUUUUGGGCUCUGGGGGGAGUAUGAUUGCAAGAUUGAAACUUAAAGGAAUUGACGGAAGGGCACCACCAGGAGUGGAGCUUGCGGCUUAAUUUGACUCAACACGG
Molecule: ribosomal RNA, 677 nt
Filed under: uncultured marine eukaryote
Lineage: Eukaryota
Description: SSU rRNA
Rfam family: Eukaryotic small subunit ribosomal RNA
Source: RNAcentral